RNAcentral lists this ribosomal RNA (465 nucleotides) under uncultured bacterium. Its description in RNAcentral is "partial 16S ribosomal RNA". It matches the Rfam family "Bacterial small subunit ribosomal RNA", at positions 28 to 507 of the family's 1533-position model. The record is from RNAcentral.
GACGAACGCUGGCGGCGUGCUUAACACAUGCAAGUCGAACGGUGAACUCCGCUUGCGGGGGGAUCAGUGGCGAACGGGUGAGUAACACGUGGGCAACCUGCCCCCAGCCUUGGGAAAACCCCAAGAAAUUGGGGCAAAAACCGGAAAUGCCGGCUGACCGCAGGGCUGGGGGGGGGAAAGUUUUUUCGGCUGGGGAUGGGCCCGCGGCCUAUCAGCUUGUUGGUGGGGUAGUGGCCUACCAAGGCGACGACGGGUAGCCGGCUUGAGAGGGUGACCGGCCACACUGGGACUGAGACACGGCCCAGACUCCUACGGGAGGCAGCAGUGGGGAAUAUUGCGCAAUGGGCGAAAGCCUGACGCAGCGACGCCGCGUGGGGGAUGACGGCCUUCGGGUUGUAAACCUCUUUCAGCAGGGACGAAGCGAAAGUGACGGUACCUGCAGAAGAAGCACCGGCCAACUACGUG